UACGUAGGGGGCAAGCGUUAUCCGGAUUCACUGGGCGUAAAGGGAGCGCAGGCGGCAUGGUAAGUCUGAUGUGGAAACCCGGGGCCCGACCCCGGGAGUGCAUUGGAAACUGCCAGGCUGGAGUGUCGGAGGGGUAAGCGGAAUUCCUAGUGUAGCGGUGAAAUGCGUAGAUAUUAGGAGGAACACCAGUGGCGAAGGCGGCUUACUGGACGACUACUGACGCUGAGGCUCGAAAGCGUGGGGAGCAAACAGG
Molecule: ribosomal RNA, 253 nt
Filed under: uncultured bacterium
Lineage: Bacteria
Description: partial 16S ribosomal RNA
Rfam family: Bacterial small subunit ribosomal RNA
Source: RNAcentral